AACGAACGCUGGCGGCAUGCCUAACACAUGCAAGUCGAACGAGACCUUCGGGUCUAGUGGCGCACGGGUGCGUAACGCGUGGGAACCUGCCCUUAGGCUCGGAAUAACUCCCCGAAAGGGGUGCUAAUACCGGAUAAUGUCUUCGGACCAAAGAUUUAUCGCCUUUGGAUGGGCCCGCGUUGGAUUAGCUAGUUGGUAGGGUAAAAGCCUACCAAGGCGACGAUCCAUAGCUGGUCUGAGAGGAUGAUCAGCCACACUGGGACUGAGACACGGCCCAGACUCCUACGGGAGGCAGCAGUGGGGAAUAUUGGACAAUGGGCGAAAGCCUGAUCCAGCAAUGCCGCGUGAGUGAUGAAGGCCUUAGGGUUGUAAAGCUCUUUUAACCGGGAUGAUAAUGACAGUACCGGGAGAAUAAGCUCUGGCUAACUCCGUG
This 433-nucleotide ribosomal RNA is filed under the name uncultured bacterium. RNAcentral's name for it is "partial 16S ribosomal RNA". It matches the Rfam family "Bacterial small subunit ribosomal RNA", at positions 29 to 507 of the family's 1533-position model. The record is from RNAcentral.